GCAGCCGCGGUAAUUCCAGCUCCAAUAGCGUAUAUUAAAGUUGUUGCAGUUAAAAAGCUCGUAGUUGAAUUUCGGGGUUAGUAGGUUGGUCAUGCCUCUGGUAUGUACUGGUCUCACUGAUUCCUCCUUCCUGACGAACCGUAAUGCCAUUAAUUUGGUGUUGCGGGAAAUUUGGACUGUUACUUUGAAAAAAUUAGAGUGUUUAAAGCAAGCUAACGCUUGAAUACAUUAGCAUGGAAUAAUGAAAUAGGACGUUCGAUCCUAUUUUGUUGGUUUCUAGGAUUGACGUAAUGAUUAAUAGGGAUAGUUGGG
RNAcentral lists this ribosomal RNA (312 nucleotides) under uncultured Glomus. RNAcentral describes it as "SSU rRNA". It matches the Rfam family "Eukaryotic small subunit ribosomal RNA", at positions 570 to 886 of the family's 1831-position model. The record is from RNAcentral. Lineage: Eukaryota; Fungi; Glomeromycota; Glomeromycetes; Glomerales; Glomeraceae.